RNAcentral lists this ribozyme (66 nucleotides) under Aedes aegypti (yellow fever mosquito). RNAcentral describes it as "drz-agam-1 ribozyme". It matches the Rfam family "drz-agam-1 ribozyme". Lineage: Eukaryota; Metazoa; Arthropoda; Insecta; Diptera; Culicidae. The record is from Rfam by way of RNAcentral.
UGCCCAGCAACUCCUAUUCCUACCUCCUCGUGGUACUGGCCGGGGUACGAGUAACCUUAGGGAAGA